UACGUAGGGGGCAAGCGUUGUCCGGAAUCAUUGGGCGUAAAGAGCGUGUAGGCGGCCCGGUCAGUCCGCCGUGAAAGUCCAGGGCUCAACCCUGGAAUGCCGGUGGAUACUGCCGGGCUGGAGUCCGGAAGAGUCGAGUGGAAUUCCUGGUGUAGCGGUGAAAUGCGCAGAUAUCAGGAGGAACACCAAUGGCGAAGGCAGCUCGCUGGGACGGUACUGACGCUGAGACGCGAAAGCGUGGGGAGCAAACAGG
This 253-nucleotide ribosomal RNA is filed under the name uncultured bacterium. RNAcentral describes it as "partial 16S ribosomal RNA". It matches the Rfam family "Bacterial small subunit ribosomal RNA", at positions 524 to 776 of the family's 1533-position model. The record is from RNAcentral.